Molecule: transfer RNA, 74 nt
Filed under: Clostridia bacterium
Lineage: Bacteria; Bacillati; Bacillota; Clostridia
Description: tRNA-Lys
Rfam family: tRNA
About the family: Transfer RNA (tRNA) molecules are approximately 80 nucleotides in length. Their secondary structure includes four short double-helical elements and three loops (D, anti-codon, and T loops). Further hydrogen bonds mediate the characteristic L-shaped molecular structure. tRNAs have two regions of fundamental functional importance: the anti-codon, which is responsible for specific mRNA codon recognition, and the 3' end, to which the tRNAs corresponding amino acid is attached (by aminoacyl-tRNA synthetases). tRNAs cope with the degeneracy of the genetic code in two manners: having more than one tRNA (with a specific anti-codon) for a particular amino acid; and 'wobble' base-pairing, i.e. permitting non-standard base-pairing at the 3rd anti-codon position.
Source: RNAcentral
GACCCACUAGCUCAGUCGGCAGAGCACUUCACUUUUAAUGAAGGUGUCCGGAGUUCGAUUCUCCGGUGGGUCAC